RNAcentral lists this non-coding RNA (47 nucleotides) under Pseudotabrizicola formosa. RNAcentral's name for it is "SAM-SAH-Weickhmann-2018 RNA". It matches the Rfam family "SAM/SAH riboswitch aptamer". Lineage: Bacteria; Pseudomonadati; Pseudomonadota; Alphaproteobacteria; Rhodobacterales; Paracoccaceae. The record is from RNAcentral.
CUGCCACAACGGCUUCCUGGCGUGGCAGGGAUCAUUCAAAUGGAGCA